AUUGAACGCUGGCGGCAUGCCUUACACAUGCAAGUCGAACGGCAGCGGACCUUCGGGUGCCGGCGAGUGGCGAACGGGUGAGUAAUAUAUCGGAACGUACCUUUCAGUGGGGGAUAACGUAGCGAAAGUUACGCUAAUACCGCAUAUUCUGUGAGCAGGAAAGCAGGGGAUCGCAAGACCUUGCGCUGAUUGAGCGGCCGAUAUCAGAUUAGCUAGUUGGUGAGGUAAAGGCUCACCAAGGCGACGAUCUGUAGCGGGUCUGAGAGGAUGAUCCGCCACACUGGAACUGAGACACGGUCCAGACUCCUACGGGAGGCAGCAGUGGGGAAUUUUGGACAAUGGGCGCAAGCCUGACCCAGCCAUGCCGCGUGAGUGAAGAAGGCCUCGG
RNAcentral lists this ribosomal RNA (388 nucleotides) under uncultured bacterium. RNAcentral describes it as "bacterial SSU rRNA". It matches the Rfam family "Bacterial small subunit ribosomal RNA", at positions 30 to 420 of the family's 1533-position model. The record is from RNAcentral.